UUUCAAUCAUAUUCAUAAAUAAUAUGUGUGAAUAUGUCUCUUGUGUAUUGUUAUUUUGCGGCUGUUGUGCGGUUGAAGAAUUGCCACGGUUGUAACUGGGUUCACAGUUGGUGUUUCUGUAUUUUGGUAGCUGCAUUACAGUUUCCUACUUCAUAGGUAAUUAGGUUGUUGAGGCCUGCGGCACUAGGUGGCGCUAGUAUCGCACCUUAAUAAUUAUGUUAUUAAACAUUUCGGAAUAUCACAACUAGAUGGCGCUCGUUCAUUAAUUUGAGCUGCAAAACUGUAACUACUGUUUUCUUGCCGGGAUUUUAAUUCUGUUUCCUUCGAAUUAUAGAAAAAGAAUUGUUAAUUGGACUAUAUAUUGAGGCAUUCUAAGGUUGAAAAGUGUCAUGAAAUCGUUUUCAAAUUCCAGCAAUUUUUGUCAUUUUUGAAAACUUAUGGUGGAAAACGGUCUCUAUUUCGUGUUUCCUUGGCUCGAUUUUAAUUUUUUUUUAAUCAUAGAAGACGAGUUGUCGAGAAGUGGCGCAAAUUUUGUUUAUUUUCGAUUAAUAGUGGUUGUAAGAUUUUCAGUUAUGGUGCCGUAGAAGUUUUACCAAGUACUUUAGUAGUGUUAAAACUGGCACUGCUAUGCAUUUAUAGUUUAGAUACGAUAAAUAUUUGUAUGUACACAAUUUUUUGUUGCAGUCUACGAGCGUAUCGCAAGAUUGAUAGUGACCGCGUGUUGUUGCCGUUGGCUGUGUGCAGUGCCGUGCACAUCCAGUUCCAUUUCGGUCACCGAAUGAAUCGCGCGUGUUCAUUCCGAUAAAUUCUGUCUCUUCAGAUUAUAAUUAAGUGAAUUUAUAUUCAUUAAACAUUCGCGGACAUAUCUGACAUAUCGAUCGUGAGCUGCGGCGUGGUGCAUUAUCGCAUUUCUUGUGAUUUUAAGUCCGUACUUGAAUUAGAAACGGUCAACAAAGAAAAGAUUUAGAAUUACCAGACAAGUGCGGCGUAUAGUUAUUGAGAUAUCGUUUAACGUUUUAACGAGACCUUACGGAUAUCUUGGACCAGGUGUGCAUUCCAUGUUUCUUCCAGAAGGAUUCAAUAGAAAAUGGUAAUUUCCGGUAAAGCAAGAAACAUCUUCAUCGAUUUCAAUGAUUCUAUCAAAUUUUGACUGGCCAAGAGGUAUAAUUUAUUUAUUUUAUUUUGCACGGUGUAGUAUUGCAAUUAUAACACUGUAACACUGAAAUGGAAAUAUGUAUAAGUUUACUGACAUUUUAACGUAUUUUAUAAAGUGGAAAGUACGCUUUACAAACAACAUGUGUGUUAACUAAGCCUCAGUAGGUUGACACAAUCGACACAAUUAUACAUAAAAUAUAAUACAUAAAACAUAAUAAAUAUAUAAAGUUUUACAUUUGCCUUUAUUAAAAUAAUGUUAUAACUUAUAUAAUUAUUUAUUUCAAUUUUACAAUGUGUAGUGUUACAAAUAUAUCACUGUAGUACUGAAAUGGAAAUAAGUAUAAGUUUACUGGCAUAUUAACGUGUUUUAUAAAGUGUAAAAUACGCUUUACAAACAACAUGUGUGUUAACGAAGCCUCGGUGGGUUGACACCAUGGGCACAUAAAACAUAAUACAUUAAACAACAUAAAAACAUAAUACAUAAAAUAUAAUACAUUAAACAUAAAUAUAUAUAGUUUUACAUUUGUUUUUAUUAAAUUAAUGUAGUAACUCGAAGCUCAAGCUCAAAAAACUAGAAAUUUAGAAAUUGCAUUUUAAAACUCGGAUUUUUAGAUUUACCUUUUUAUUGGGGAAUUCCAUGGAUUUGGACGCAGCAUCAACAUCUUACAUUUUGUGAUACACAGAGCCCAGAAGACUGGGUGAAGAAGAAGAAGAAUGAACACUUUAAAACGUCGUCAUAAUUUUUUCUGCUUUUAAUAUAAUUGGACAAAAAAAACAGGGCAAAGCUUGGGUAUCAAAUUGAAUUUGGCUAAAAAAGAGAGUGCAGAACUAAUGUUACAAACUUAUUACACUUGCUAAAGGCAACACAAGACUAUUUUAUUGAGCAAAUCAUUAAAAAUAUUCUAAAUGCUCCGCCAAGGUGGUAAUUUAUAGACAAUUUGUUAAGUGAUAGUUCUCAUGUUGUGAAGCACUUGAUAAGCUGCUUGCUAUUAAUUUAGUUACAAGUCACAUUGUAUUGCUGAAGCAAUAGAAGUUGCUACAUAUGUUAAAUGUUAUUUGUCACAUAUGAAAUUAUGUUUUUAAUACUAUGUGAAGACAUGAUAACUUUGUUAAAUACUUGUAAAUUGUAAUUUUACAUAGAUUGUUUUCAUUCUUAAGUUAAGAUUGUUGGAAGGACUAAUUCUUGCUUGUUAUAGGGAUUUUGCACCUAAGUCUGACAUCAUAGAAGGACCAUUCUUGCAUCAGAUUGGAUAGUGCACCUGAGUCUGACAUCGUAGAAUGACCAUUUUUGCAUCGAAUUGUAAGUAUUUAAUUUCUUUAUCGUUUUCAUAAAUAAAUUUUGUGAUGAUUUCACAAAUUGAUCUCCAAAAUUGCAUUUAUAUGUUCGAAGGACUAGUUUUUGCUUGUUUUAGGGAUUUUGUACCUGAUUCUGACAUCGUAGAAGGGCCAUUCUUUUAUAAGUAUUUAAUUUCUUUAACGUUUUCAUAACUAAUUUUUGGGAUUAGCUCUUGAAUUAGUGACGAAAAUUGCAUUUUUGUGUUGCAAAUGACUACUUUUUGCUUCUUUUAGGUGUUCUGCACCCGAGCCCGAUAUCGUAGGAGAACCAUUCUUGUAUCAGAUUGUAAGUAUUUAAUUUCUUAAUCAUUUUCAAACAUAACUUUUAUGAAUAACUUACGAAUUAGCGAGAAAAAUUUACUUUUUGUAUUUCGAAGCUCUGAUUUUGCUGGUUUUCGGGGUUUAGCACAUGAACGCGUCAUCCGCGUAAUAUCAGCGUUCGUUUUAUUAAAAAAGAAAGAAGAAUAUACUGUUAAAUAUAAUUAAUAAAACAUAAUUUAAAAUUUC
Dalotia coriaria is the source of this 2997-nucleotide long non-coding RNA. RefSeq lists it as uncharacterized. Lineage: Eukaryota; Metazoa; Arthropoda; Insecta; Coleoptera; Staphylinidae. The transcript is spliced from 3 exons. The record is from RefSeq and is a predicted model, not a curated record.